RNAcentral lists this ribosomal RNA (206 nucleotides) under uncultured bacterium. Its description in RNAcentral is "partial 16S ribosomal RNA". It matches the Rfam family "Bacterial small subunit ribosomal RNA", at positions 568 to 774 of the family's 1533-position model. The record is from RNAcentral.
CGCGUAGGCGGGUGCUCAAGUCCGGGGUGAAAUCCUCCAGCUCAACUGGAGAACUGCCUCGGAUACUGGGUGCCUCGAGGGUGGUAGGGGUAUGCGGAACUACCGGUGGAGCGGUGAAAUGCGUUGAUAUCGAUAGGAACUCCGGUGGCGAAGGCGGCAUACUGGACCACUUCUGACGCUGAGGCGCGAAAGCCAGGGAGCAAACG